UAGGGAAUCUUCGGCAAUGGACGAAAGUCUGACCGAGCAACGCCGCGUGAGUGAAGAAGGUUUUCGGAUCGUAAAACUCUGUUGUUAGAGAAGAACAAGGACGUUAGUAACUGAACGUCCCCUGACGGUAUCUAACCAGAAAGCCACGGCUAACUACGUGCCAGCAGCCGCGGUAAUACGUAGGUGGCAAGCGUUGUCCGGCUUUAUUGGGCGUAAAGCGAGCGCAGGCGGUUUCUUAAGUCUGAUGUGAAAGCCCCCGGCUCAACCGGGGAGGGUCAUUGGAAACUGGGAGACUUGAGUGCAGAAGAGGAGAGUGGAAUUCCAUGUGUAGCGGUGAAAUGCGUAGAUAUAUGGAGGAACACCAGUGGCGAAGGCGGCUCUCUGGUCUGUAACUGACGCUGAGGCGCGAAAGCGUGGGGAGCAAACAGG
Molecule: ribosomal RNA, 429 nt
Filed under: Gemmatimonadota bacterium
Lineage: Bacteria; Pseudomonadati; Gemmatimonadota
Description: Gemmatimonadetes bacterium partial 16S ribosomal RNA
Rfam family: Bacterial small subunit ribosomal RNA
Source: RNAcentral